GGAGGAAAAGAAACCACCAGGGAUUGCCUCAGUAGCGGCGAGUGAAGCGGCAAAAGCUCAAAUUUGAAAUCUGGCGUCUUUGGCGUCCGAGUUGUAAUUUGAAGAAGGUAUCUUUGGGCCCGGCUCUUGUCUAUGUUCCUUGGAACAGGACGUCACAGAGGGUGAGAAUCCCGUGCGAUGAGAUGACCCGGGUCUGUGUAAAGUUCCUUCGACGAGUCGAGUUGUUUGGGAAUGCAGCUCUAAGUGGGUGGUAAAUUCCAUCUAAAGCUAAAUAUUGGCGAGAGACCGAUAGCGAACAAGUACAGUGAUGGAAAGAUGAAAAGAACUUUGAAAAGAGAGUGAAAAAGUACGUGAAAUUGUUGAAAGGGAAGGGCUUGAGAUCAGACUUGGUAUUUUGCAUGUUGCUCUCUCGGGGGCGGCCGCUGCGGUUUACCGGGCCAGCAUCGGUUUGGAGCGGCAGGAUAAUGGCGGAGGAAUGUGGCACGGCUUCUGCUGUGUGUUAUAGCCUCUGACGAUACUGCCAGCCUAGACCGAGGACUGCGGUUUUUACCUAGGAUGUUGGCAUAAUGAUCUUAAGUCGCCCGUCUUGAA
This 591-nucleotide ribosomal RNA is filed under the name Candida albicans. RNAcentral's name for it is "LSU rRNA". It matches the Rfam family "Eukaryotic large subunit ribosomal RNA", at positions 52 to 658 of the family's 3401-position model. Lineage: Eukaryota; Fungi; Ascomycota; Pichiomycetes; Serinales; Debaryomycetaceae. The record is from RNAcentral.